This is a transfer RNA of Brevibacterium linens, 73 nucleotides long. It matches the Rfam family "tRNA". Rfam says of the family: Transfer RNA (tRNA) molecules are approximately 80 nucleotides in length. NCBI's taxonomy places the organism in Bacteria, Bacillati, Actinomycetota, Actinomycetes, Micrococcales, Brevibacteriaceae. The record is from Rfam.
GGGCCUCUAGCUCAGUUGGUAGAGCAGCGGACUUUUAAUCCGCGGGUCGUGGGUUCGAUCCCCACGGGGCCCA